CCUACGGGGGGCUGCAGUUUCGAAUCAUUCACAAUGGGCGAAAGCCUGAUGGUGCGACGCCGCGUGAGGGAUGAAGGUCUUCGGAUUGUAAACCUCUGUCACUGGGGAAGAAACGCUUCAUGUUAAUAGCAUGAAGCCUGACUUAACCCAGAGAGGAAGCAGUGGCUAACUCUGUGCCAGCAGCCGCGGUAAUACAGAGACUGCAAGCGUUAUUCGGAUUCACUGGGCGUAAAGGGUGCGCAGGCGGCCGUGUGUGUUAGGUGUGAAAGCCCGGG
This 275-nucleotide ribosomal RNA is filed under the name uncultured Opitutus sp. RNAcentral's name for it is "partial 16S ribosomal RNA". It matches the Rfam family "Bacterial small subunit ribosomal RNA", at positions 338 to 606 of the family's 1533-position model. Lineage: Bacteria; Pseudomonadati; Verrucomicrobiota; Opitutia; Opitutales; Opitutaceae. The record is from RNAcentral.